GAGGGCGUAGCUCAGUUGGUAGAGCAUUCGACUUUUAAUCGAAUGGUCCUGGGUUCGAGUCCCAGCGCCCUCAC
Molecule: transfer RNA, 74 nt
Filed under: Stieleria marina
Lineage: Bacteria; Pseudomonadati; Planctomycetota; Planctomycetia; Pirellulales; Pirellulaceae
Description: Planctomycetes bacterium K23_9 tRNA-Lys
Rfam family: tRNA
About the family: Transfer RNA (tRNA) molecules are approximately 80 nucleotides in length. Their secondary structure includes four short double-helical elements and three loops (D, anti-codon, and T loops).
Source: RNAcentral